UUGCGAAUGGAUGGCGCGAUCUCCGCUCACAUUUUUUUUUUCGUAUAGAUGAAGUGAAUAAUGUGUAUUUUUCAUAAUAUCUAUUUUAGAAUGUUGAUAGGGAUGACAUUUGGGCUUUAAUGAUACUUGGAGAGGGAGAUUUUCUAUUUACUUGAGGACAACAUCAACACCCUCCUCACCAGCACAUAAAAGGGGGGGUCUGCUUUGCUUUAAGGGCUACUGACACAUUUUAAUAUUUAUUUAAUGAAAAAAAGGUAGCCAGAAUGGACCCAUCAGUUUUUUCGCCAGACAUCAGGAUGUUGUCGUAUAAGGACUUUUGUUUCUCCCACCAUUGAAAUCCUAUCAAGGCAUUCGUUUUGGAGAAAAAGCAGGAAGUGACAUUUUUUCCAAGAAGCCCACACUGGCGGUUUUGUGUGUUUAGACUGGUUUUAUCGGCGCGAAAGUUGCUGUUUUUUUUCCUGCAUUAGCCAAAAUGCAGUCUUGUAUUGCUGGAUAUUGCUAGAACACUUGAGAGGAUGGAUUUGCUCUUCACACUUUUCCAAAAGAUGCAGUUCGUCGUGAAAAAUGGAUUGCACUGGUGCAAAGGAUGAGAGCUUCGUUGGCCCCAAAUGACACGUAAUCCUUUCAGUGAGAGACGACAGCGCUUGCGGCCGCGUUGUGGUGGCUCAUUGCACCGGUGUCAUCACUCACGGCUGAGGAUGUCAGUGGGACUGAAAGUGGCAGGAAAGAUCGACCCAAGCAGACGUGCUAAAGAUGAUUUCCUGGUGGUCUGGUGGUGUAAGCAGCGCAAAAGGUGAAAAUCAGGAUUCCAGAAUCAGCUUUCAUGGCCAAGUAUGUAACAAUACACAAGGAAAAGUGUACCAUUGUUUGUUUUUGAAAUAAAUUACAUUAAAGUACAGAACUGUACACGAACCAUCUCUUGCGUUCCAUUAGACAAGUUCAUCGAUCUCGUUAUAGUCACAGCCCCAGGUUUUUUUGUCCAAUCACAAAUCAGUAACUCAGCCUUUACAGAUUCAUUGCCUUCCGGAUUGUUGGAAUUUUUGGAAUGCUUAGCACCAUUUUACACACCAAACAACUGGGGGGGUUAUUACAAGCGAGGGGGGUAUUAAAGACAUACCUAACGUCAAGUUUGGUCAACUUUUAUAACAGGUUAAUUUAAGGGUAAUGGAAGUUGUUGCAGGAGGCGAGAGACACGGUUCUUUAAUGUAACAUGAUAUGACAGACAUGGUUAGUUCUUUUGCAAUACAUACAGGUUUUAACAUGGUCAUACCAUAUGUAAUGUAACCCUUAAUACGGUUUUCCAUAACCUUAAGCUUUUUGGAGGUACAGAAUCUCAAUUUCUUUCACAUGCAUUCACUAAACCCUUUGUAAUGGUUUUGUGAGUCUCUGUAUCAGUCGCAGUCAGUAGUUGGUUCUAAAUUAGCUUCAGUGGCACACAAGCAACACCAGCCCUUUUUUUUCAUCUUGAAUGAUACUUUGUCUUUGACUACAGCACAGGUAUCAAACUCAAGCCCGGGGGCAAGAUCCGGCCCACCACAUCAUUUUAUGUGGCCCACGAAGACAAAAUACGUGUCAACUUGAAUGGUUCCUGCUGAAAUCUGUACUAAAUUUCAGAGAUCAUAAAUAACUGGGAUAUUGCAAGAAUGUUUGUGUUACCAAACACGAAUAGUUGAAAAACCCAUUACCCUUGAUUUCUGAUUUCAAAACUAGUUCAUAAAUUUCAUAUGUAAAUAUGAUGAGGUGAUUAAACAGUUUUAUGAUUUUACAGUCACAACAGCCCUCUGAGGGAAACCAUAUCUACAAACUGGCCCAUGGAAAAAAUGAGUUUGACACCCCUGGACUACAGGAUCUGGUUCCAGUGUUAAAAAAAAAAAAAAGUAUGGUCCUUAAGCACAUUCACAUGGAAGGUGUGAAUUAAACAAUGCCUGGAUCAGACUUCAAGAUAAAUUUGGUCUUUCAUGAUUCCGAAGUCCGACGACUGCAUUAAAAUCUAUCUCGGUCAGACACUGGUAAUAUGAGGUGUGUUCAGAUACUGCCGUAUCCUGUCUUUUAGGAUUCCUCUGCUUUACUGUAUCUUGUCAAAUCACACACUGUUUGGUAGACAUGACCAGAAAACGCGUCACCUUUCACAGCAACUGGAUACAACCAUUACAAUGGUAACAACCAGUUGUCAAACAAUGGAUAGCAUCAGGAAUGUUUUUGGGGGAAACGUGUGGUAUCAUCAGGCUCUCAUGAGAGGAUGUUUUGAGCUGUACAUUAAAGGAUUGUUUGAGCUAUGUUCACGUAAAAUACGGUUAACAAGACGGGAACAAAAACGUUAUGUAGCCUCGCAAGCUACUGCUAGCACUAACAUUUGUAUAUAAACGUGCAAAUCUUUCAAAGCUUUGGUAAACGUUUGUACGCAUGUAUUGGUACUGACAACAGGAAGCACAGGAGGCAAUCUGCCGAUCAAAAUACACAAUCCUACGGGUCAAGGUUAUUUUGGGUAUCGUAUGGCCAAAUCAUUGGCUGAGGAUUAAGUAACAUUACAUGACGUUUUGUUGUUCUCAACAAAAUAUGUUAGGGUCAAUCUUGGAAAUCUGCGAUGGCAAAUCGGGCGUAUAUCAGGGCUAGAACCCCGUAGUCUGCUUUAGGCAUUA
This is a long non-coding RNA of Syngnathoides biaculeatus (alligator pipefish), 2639 nucleotides long. RefSeq lists it as uncharacterized. The record is from RefSeq and is a predicted model, not a curated record. The transcript has 3 exons. Lineage: Eukaryota; Metazoa; Chordata; Actinopteri; Syngnathiformes; Syngnathidae.